Molecule: long non-coding RNA, 623 nt
Organism: Corvus hawaiiensis (hawaiian crow)
Lineage: Eukaryota; Metazoa; Chordata; Aves; Passeriformes; Corvidae
Exons: 2
Source: RefSeq, a predicted model, not a curated record
AGCCGAUCACCCUUUAAUAUGACACAUUGGACAAGGAGGAAGGGAGGGGGCCGGGGGAGCAGCUGUAAUUCCAGCCUCAGUAAUUCAGGAAGGGUCUGUCAGCUCAUGAGUCACCACGGGGGGAGCAGGAGGUUUCACCGCCGUGACACCACAGGGGACGCGUGCGACCCGUGGGCUUGGGAAGCGGCCUCUGGGGUCGUCUGGGAGAAGGAGGAGGAGAACUGAUGCUCUCUGAAGCUCCUGCUGCAGAUCUGGCUGUCAGUGAGAGGGAGAAUUGCUCGAGGGGCCGUCCCGAAUCGGUGGGACCUGAUUGAUGGGGAUUUCAUCUCUGCUGUGUCUUGCAUGAACAGGGGCUGGGGUUUGCCUCCAGGAGCUGUCACAUCUCUGGUUGUUGUCAUAUAAACAUCACCAGAGUGAGCUCUCAGGAUUACACGGGGCAGAGCCGUGUCCUUGCUUCCCCACAUCGCCGUAAAAUUGCUGCUGUAUUCAAAAUCCUCUUAUGUUUAUUACUUCCCCUUUAUUCCGUGAGAGAGGUGGGAGCUCUCCCUGCAUAAUCCACAGGCUGCUGCACCAGCCCUGUUGUCAAAUCCAGAUGAUUCCUGAGAAUUAAAGCCUCUGCCAGA